UACGGAGACCUCGAGCGUUACUCGGAUUCACUGGGCGUAAAGGGUGCGCAGGCGGUCGCGUGUGUCAGGUGUGAAAUCCCGGGGCUUAACUCCGGAACUGCGCCUGAAACUACGCGACUAGAGGCUUGGAGAGGUAAGCGGAAUUUCCGGUGUAGCGGUGAAAUGCGUAGAUAUCGGAAGGAACAUCAAUGGCGAAGGCAGCUUACUGGACAAGUUCUGACGCUCAGGCACGAAAGCGUGGGUAGCGAAAGGG
RNAcentral lists this unclassified non-coding RNA (253 nucleotides) under uncultured Verrucomicrobiota bacterium. RNAcentral's name for it is "uncultured Verrucomicrobia bacterium contains 16S-23S intergenic spacer region". It matches the Rfam family "Bacterial small subunit ribosomal RNA", at positions 524 to 776 of the family's 1533-position model. The record is from RNAcentral. Lineage: Bacteria; Pseudomonadati; Verrucomicrobiota.